GUUUGUUGUUUUUCAUAGAUAAGUUUGGGUAAACAGGCCACAAACUUACACAUUGUUGUUCGAAAUUCUGACCAUUCUAAUU
This 82-nucleotide long non-coding RNA is filed under the name Neodiprion lecontei (redheaded pine sawfly). RNAcentral describes it as "uncharacterized LOC124292852". The record is from RNAcentral. Lineage: Eukaryota; Metazoa; Arthropoda; Insecta; Hymenoptera; Diprionidae.